GACGAACGCUGGCGGCGUGCUUAACACAUGCAAGUCGAACGCUGAAGCUUGGUGCUUGCACUGGGUGGAUGAGUGGCGAACGGGUGAGUAAUACGUGAGUAACCUGCCCUUGACUCUGGGAUAAGCCUGGGAAACUGGGUCUAAUACUGGAUACGACAUGUCACCGCAUGGUGCUGUGUGGAAAGGGUUUUACUGGUUUUGGAUGGGCUCACGGCCUAUGAGCUUGUUGGUGGGGUAAUGGCUCACCAAGGCGACGACGGGUAGCCGGCCUGAGAGGGUGAACGGCGACACUGGUACUGAGAGACGGCGCAGACUCCUACGGGAGGCAGCAGGGGGAAGUAUGACACAAUGGGCGAACGCCUGAUGCAGCGACGCCGGGUGAGGGAUGACGGCCUUCGGGUUGUAAACCUCUUUCAGAACGGAAGAAGCGAAAGUGACGGUACGUGAAGAAGAAGCGCCGGCUAACUACGUG
RNAcentral lists this ribosomal RNA (472 nucleotides) under uncultured bacterium. Its description in RNAcentral is "partial 16S ribosomal RNA". It matches the Rfam family "Bacterial small subunit ribosomal RNA", at positions 28 to 507 of the family's 1533-position model. The record is from RNAcentral.